Molecule: ribosomal RNA, 334 nt
Filed under: uncultured eukaryote
Lineage: Eukaryota
Description: partial 18S ribosomal RNA
Rfam family: Eukaryotic small subunit ribosomal RNA
Source: RNAcentral
CCCUUAGAUGUCCGGGGCCGCACGCGCGCUACAUUGAAGGAAUCAGCGUGGCUUUCUCCCUGACCCGAAAGGGUUGGGAAACCCGUUGAAUCUCCUUCGUGAUAGGGAUUGGGGCUUGAAAUUGUUCCCCAUGAACGAGGAAUUCCCAGUAAGCGCGAGUCAUAAGCUCGCGUUGAUUACGUCCCUGCCCUUUGUACACACCGCCCGUCGCUACUACCGAUUGAACGGUUUAGUGAGGGCCUCGGAUUGGUCUCGGCCCGCUCUUUACCGGGCGGCGCCGUUGGUCGAGAAGACGCUCGAACUUGAUCGUUUAGAGGAAGUAAAAGUCGUAACA